ACAACAGCAGCUGCAAGCAUGCUACUUUCAGGAUCAAUGUCGAGUGCAGAUGGGCUAAUGAACCCAAAUUUACUAGCUAGAGCAAUCCUUCCAUGCUCAUCAAGUGUGGCAACAAUUUCAGCUUCUGCUCCAUUCCCAACUGUAACAUUAGAUCUCACCCACAACCCAAAUCCACUUCAACUCCAAAGACCUUCCAGCCAUUUCCAAGUCC
RNAcentral lists this unclassified non-coding RNA (211 nucleotides) under Hevea brasiliensis (rubber tree). The record is from RNAcentral. Lineage: Eukaryota; Viridiplantae; Streptophyta; Magnoliopsida; Malpighiales; Euphorbiaceae.